AUGGAUGAAGGAAGAAAUUUAGCAACACUUUUCCCGCAAGAUCUCUUGCAAGAAGAAAAUAAUCUCCAAAUUUGACUUGUCAAUUUUAUUUCUCAUUUAAAUAGCAAGUUAACUCAAAGAAUUUAUCACACAAAUAAUCAAUUUGUUAGUACUUGCUUAAUAGUGAAUUGGGAACGAGAAGAAAAAGAAAAGACUGGUGCUUCCCUUGUUGAGGUAAGAGCAAAUGAUCUUAUUCGUGAUUUCCUUCCGAAUUCCCUCGUCGGUACAAUUGUGAUGAAAGACCGAGACUGCAUCGUCGUUGCAGCAAUCUUUAAUCUUGUUUUUGACAAGUAG
RNAcentral lists this ribosomal RNA (333 nucleotides) under Triticum aestivum (bread wheat). Its description in RNAcentral is "partial small subunit ribosomal RNA". The record is from RNAcentral. Lineage: Eukaryota; Viridiplantae; Streptophyta; Magnoliopsida; Poales; Poaceae.